GAUGAACGCUGGCGGCGUGCUUAACACAUGCAAGUCGAACGGAAAGGCCCAAGCUUGCUUGGGUACUCGAGUGGCGAACGGGUGAGUAACACGUGGGUGAUCUGCCCUGCACUUCGGGAUAAGCCUGGGAAACUGGGUCUAAUACCGGAUAGGACCACAUUUUGGAUGGUGUGGUGGAACGUUUUUCGGUGUGGGAUGAGCUCGCGGCCUAUCAGCUUGUUGGUGGGGUAAUGGCCUACCAAGGCGUCGACGGGUAGCCGGCCUGAGAGGGUGUACGGACACAUUGGGACUGAGAUACGGCCCAGACUCCUACGGGAGGCAGCAGUGGGGAAUAUUGCACAAUGGGAGCAAGCCUGAUGCAGCGACGCCGCGUGGGGGAUGACGGCCUUCGGGUUGUAAACUCCUUUCGCUAGGGACGAAGCGUUAUGUGACGGUACCUUGAGAAGAAGCACCGGCUAACUACGUG
Molecule: ribosomal RNA, 466 nt
Filed under: uncultured bacterium
Lineage: Bacteria
Description: partial 16S ribosomal RNA
Rfam family: Bacterial small subunit ribosomal RNA
Source: RNAcentral